UACGGAGGGUGCGAGCGUUGUCCGGAAUCAUUGGGCGUAAAGGGCGCGUAGGUGGCCUGCUAAGCGUGCGGUGAAAGUCGGGGGCUCAACCCCCGAUCGGCCGUGCGAACUGGGAGGCUUGAGCACUGUAGAGGCAGGCGGAAUUCCGGGUGUAGCGGUGGAAUGCGUAGAUAUCAGGAGGAACACCAAUGGCGAAGGCAGAUCUCUGGGCCGUAACUGACGCUGAGGAGCGAAAGCAUGGGGAGCGAACAGG
RNAcentral lists this ribosomal RNA (253 nucleotides) under uncultured bacterium. RNAcentral describes it as "partial 16S ribosomal RNA". It matches the Rfam family "Bacterial small subunit ribosomal RNA", at positions 524 to 776 of the family's 1533-position model. The record is from RNAcentral.